AACAAACGCUGGCGGCGUGCCUAAUACAUGCAAGUCGAACGGGGAAAGCUUUCGGGUGAGUACUAGUGGCGCACGGGUGAGGAACGCGUGGAUAAUCUGCCUUAGAGUGGGGGAUAACUAGUCGAAAGAUUAGCUAAUACCGCAUAAGACCACGAGAGCUGCGGCUUUUGAGGUCAAAGGUUUUUCGCUCUAAGAUGAGUCCGCGUAAGAUUAGCUAGUUGGUGAGGUAACGGCUCACCAAGGCGACGAUCUUUAACUAGUCUGAGAGGAUGAUCAGUCACACUGGCACUGAGACACGGUCCAGACUCCUACGGGAGGCAGCAGUAGGGAAUAUUGCACAAUGGAGGAAACUCUGAUGCAGCGACGCCGCGUGAGUGAUGAAGGCCUUCGGGUCGUAAAGCUCUGUCGCAGGGGAAUAACACAAUGAAGGUACCCUGUAAGAAAGGAUCGGCUAACUUCGUG
This 462-nucleotide ribosomal RNA is filed under the name uncultured bacterium. RNAcentral's name for it is "partial 16S ribosomal RNA". It matches the Rfam family "Bacterial small subunit ribosomal RNA", at positions 29 to 507 of the family's 1533-position model. The record is from RNAcentral.